GGAGUUGGCCAGGCAGUCGCUCCGCUUUCGGGCGGGGAGGAAAGUCCGGGCUCCAUAGGGCAGAGUGCCAGGUAACGCCUGGGGGGUGUGAACCCACGGCCAGUGCAACAGAGAGCAGACCGCCUAAGCAGUUUCGACUGCCGGUAAGGGUGAAAGGGUGCGGUAAGAGCGCACCGCGCUGAUGGUAACAUUCAGUGGCAUGGUAAACCCCACUCGGAGCAAGACCAAAUAGGGGAACAUUGGUGCGGCCCGCACUGUUCCCGGGUAGGUUGCUUGAGGCAGACGGCGACGUCUGUCCCAGAUGAAUGACUGUCCUCGACAGAACCCGGCUUAUGUCCGACUCCACCU
This 348-nucleotide RNase P RNA is filed under the name Gammaproteobacteria bacterium. RNAcentral's name for it is "RNase P RNA component class A". It matches the Rfam family "Bacterial RNase P class A". From Rfam's summary of the family: Ribonuclease P (RNase P) is a ubiquitous endoribonuclease, found in archaea, bacteria and eukarya as well as chloroplasts and mitochondria. Its best characterised activity is the generation of mature 5'-ends of tRNAs by cleaving the 5'-leader elements of precursor-tRNAs. Lineage: Bacteria; Pseudomonadati; Pseudomonadota; Gammaproteobacteria. The record is from RNAcentral.